UACGGGGGGAGCAAGCGUUGUUCGGAUUUACUGGGCGUAAAGGGCGCGUAGGCGGUCGUGACAAGUCACUUGUGAAAUCUCCGGGCUUAACUCGGAACGGUCAAGUGAUACUGUCGGACUAGAGUACAGAAGGGGCAACUGGAAUUCCUGGUGUAGCGGUGAAAUGCGCAGAUAUCAGGAGGAACACCGGUGGCGAAGGCGGUUCUCUGGGCAUUACCUGACGCUGAGGAGCGAAAGUGUGGGGAGCGAACAGG
RNAcentral lists this ribosomal RNA (254 nucleotides) under uncultured bacterium. Its description in RNAcentral is "partial 16S ribosomal RNA". It matches the Rfam family "Bacterial small subunit ribosomal RNA", at positions 524 to 776 of the family's 1533-position model. The record is from RNAcentral.